Molecule: ribosomal RNA, 536 nt
Filed under: fungal endophyte
Lineage: Eukaryota; Fungi
Description: eukaryotic LSU rRNA
Rfam family: 5.8S ribosomal RNA (bases 182-335)
Source: RNAcentral
CAUUAAAGAGUUCUAUAACUCCCAAACCCAUGUGAACAUACCUAACGUUGCCUCGGCAGGUCGCACCUACCUUGUAGCACCCUACCCUGUAGGGCCUACCCGGGAGGUGCGGGUAAGCCUGCCGGCGGCCCACCAAACUCUGUUUGAUAUUGAAUUCUGAACCUAUAACUAAAUAAGUUAAAACUUUCAACAACGGAUCUCUUGGUUCUGGCAUCGAUGAAGAACGCAGCGAAAUGCGAUAAGUAAUGUGAAUUGCAGAAUUCAGUGAAUCAUCGAAUCUUUGAACGCAUAUUGCGCCCAUUAGUAUUCUAGUGGGCAGGACCGUUCGAGCGUCAUUUCAACCCUUAAGCCUUCGUUGCUUAGUGUUGGGAGCCUACGGCAACGUAGCUCCUCAAAGUUAGUGGCGGAGUUGGUUCACACUCUAGACGUAGUAAUUUUUUAUCUCGCCUAUUAGUUGGACUAAUCCCCUGCCGUAAAACCCCCAAUCUAUAUCAAGGUUGACCUCGAAUCGGUUCAGACAAACUCGCUAAAUUGAA